RNAcentral lists this ribosomal RNA (463 nucleotides) under uncultured Klebsiella sp. Its description in RNAcentral is "bacterial SSU rRNA". It matches the Rfam family "Bacterial small subunit ribosomal RNA", at positions 338 to 795 of the family's 1533-position model. Lineage: Bacteria; Pseudomonadati; Pseudomonadota; Gammaproteobacteria; Enterobacterales; Enterobacteriaceae. The record is from RNAcentral.
CCUACGCGGCUGCAGUGGGGAAUAUUGCACAAUGGGCGCCAGCCUGAUGCAGCCAUGCCGCGUGUGUGAAGAAGGCCUUCGGGUUGUAAAGCACUUUCAGCGGGGAGGAAGGCGUUAAGGUUAAUAACCUUGGCGAUUGACGUUACCCGCAGAAGAAGCACCGGCUAACUCCGUGCCAGCAGCCGCGGUAAUACGGAGGGUGCAAGCGUUAAUCGGAAUUACUGGGCGUAAAGCGCACGCAGGCGGUCUGUCAAGUCGGAUGUGAAAUCCCCGGGCUCAACCUGGGAACUGCAUUCGAAACUGGCAGGCUAGAGUCUUGUAGAGGGGGGUAGAAUUCCAGGUGUAGCGGUGAAAUGCGUAGAGAUCUGGAGGAAUACCGGUGGCGAAGGCGGCCCCCUGGACAAAGACUGACGCUCAGGUGCGAAAGCGUGGGGAGCAAACAGGAUUAGAUACCCCAGUAGUC